This is a non-coding RNA of Triticum aestivum (bread wheat), 135 nucleotides long. NCBI's taxonomy places the organism in Eukaryota, Viridiplantae, Streptophyta, Magnoliopsida, Poales, Poaceae. The record is from Rfam.
GUAGUACUCCCUUCGUCCUGAAUUAGUUAACUCGAAUUUGUCUAAAUAUGGAUGUAUCUAGACAUGUUUUAGUGUUAGAUACAUCUAUGUCUAGACAAAUCUAAUUCAACUAAUUUGAAACGGUGGUUGUACUUA